UAAUACAAAAAUAGAAAAAUUGCUUUUAGCAAUAUUCAGAGAAAGAAGAGUAAUGGAGACCCAGUCAUUGCACAGAUAAUGCAACUUUCACAAUGUCACAGAGAAGGCAGAACUGCUGGUUCUAUUUCCAUCUUCUCUAUCAGGGAUCUUCGCUUUGGAAAGGAGCGGGCAAACGUCACCAUUAUGGUGGAACUGAAACCCUCACUUUGGAAAGUGGUGGCGAGGAAACAGCUGUAUUCUUGGGAGCCCCAUGUGACACUGGCAGCGUGAUGGGGAAGACAGAUAGCACGCAGGGACGCAGAUAAAGCAGUCAGGACAAACUCGAGUGCAUCGCGUGUCGAGGCAGAGCACACAUGAGGAAGAGCCCGCCUCUGAUGGCCAUGACAUUUGCCCUGUUAUCAGUGCAGGGGGUGUCGGGGACACCUUUUCCAGGAUGCAGUGUGGAGCAGAAAGCGAGUAAACACAGUGAAGACAGGCUGACACCAUCUCAGUGGCCAACUGGCCUCUUGAAGUCCGGAAUCCUCGGCCUGAUCAGUGAGGAGAAAUGAGACUUAAACGAACGGCUCCUGUGUGAGCUUCCAUCGUUAACAAUAGCAAGAUAAAGAAGAGCAAGUUGAUCCUUGAAGUGUUUGAAGGUCUUCGUAUAAGCAAUAAACAAGUUGGAAUUUAAGAGAGAAUAAUAACUCAAAAUGGUGAAAAAGAGUCCAAUAUAUUUCAAAACUGACAAGUUAAAAAGAGAAAUAGAGGAGCUUUUCUAAGAUGGAUCCUCUUA
This is a long non-coding RNA of Equus quagga, 772 nucleotides long. RefSeq lists it as uncharacterized. The record is from RefSeq and is a predicted model, not a curated record. The transcript is spliced from 3 exons. Lineage: Eukaryota; Metazoa; Chordata; Mammalia; Perissodactyla; Equidae.